RNAcentral lists this ribosomal RNA (468 nucleotides) under uncultured bacterium. RNAcentral describes it as "partial 16S ribosomal RNA". It matches the Rfam family "Bacterial small subunit ribosomal RNA", at positions 28 to 507 of the family's 1533-position model. The record is from RNAcentral.
GACGAACGCUGGCGGCGUGCUUAACACAUGCAAGUCGAACGGAAAGGCCCUGCUUUUGUGGGGUGCUCGAGUUGCGAACGGGUGAGUAACACGUGAGUAACCUGCCCUUUACUUUGGGAUAACUUCAGGAAACUGGUGCUAAUACCGGAUAGGAGCUCCUGCUGCAUGGUGGGGGUUGGAAAGUUUCGGCGGUUGGGGAUGGACUCGCGGCUUAUCAGCUUGUUGUUGGGGUAGUGGCUUACCAAGGCUUUGACGGGUAGCCGGCCUGAGAGGGUGACCGGCAACAAUGGGACUGAGAUACGGACCAGAAUGCUAAGGGAGGCAGCAGGGGGGAAUAUUGCAAAAUGGGCGGAAGCCUGAUGCAGCAAAGCCGCGUGCGGGAUGACGGCCUUCGGGUUGUAAACAGAUUUCGCCUGUGACGAAGAGUGAGUGACGGUAAUGGGUAAAGAAGCACCGGCUAACUACGUG